CGUAUGGUUCUAUUUUGUUGGUUUCUAGGACCGUCGUAAUGAUUAAUAGGAACGGUCGGGGGCAUCAGUAUUGAGUAGCUAGAGGUGAAAUUCUUGGAUUUACUCAAGACUAACUAGUGCGAAAGCAUUUGCCAAGGACGUUUUCAUUAAUCAAGAACGAAAGUUAGGGGAUCGAAGACGCUUAGAUACCGUCGUAGUCUUAACCGUAAACUAUGCCGACUUGGGAUCGGACAGGUCAUUAUUUUUUGCUUGUUCGGCACCACGUGAGAAAUCAAAGUUUUUAGGUUCUGGGGGGAGUAUGGUCGCAAGGCUGAAACUUAAAGGAAUUGACGGAAGGGCACCACCAGGAGUGGAGCCUGCGGCUCAAUUUGACUCAACACGGGGAAACUC
Molecule: ribosomal RNA, 390 nt
Filed under: fungal sp.
Lineage: Eukaryota; Fungi
Description: SSU rRNA
Rfam family: Eukaryotic small subunit ribosomal RNA
Source: RNAcentral